AGUGAACGCUGGCGGUAGGCCUAACACAUGCAAGUCGAACGGCAGCACAGGAGAGCUUGCUCUCUGGGUGGCGAGUGGCGGACGGGUGAGGAAUACAUCGGAAUCUACUCUGUCGUGGGGGAUAACGUAGGGAAACUUACGCUAAUACCGCAUACGACCUACGGGUGAAAGCAGGGGACCUUCGGGCCUUGCGCGAUUGAAUGAGCCGAUGUCGGAUUAGCUAGUUGGCGGGGUAAAGGCCCACCAAGGCGACGCUCCGUAGCUGGUCUGGGAGGAUGAGCAGCCACACUGGAGCUGAGACACGGUCCAGACUCCUACGGGAGGCAGCAGUGGGGAAUAUUGGACAAUGGGCGCAAGCCUGAUCCAGCCAUACCGCGUGGGUGAAGAAGGCCUUCGGGUUGUAAAGCCCUUUUGUUGGGAAAGAAAUCCAGCUGGCUAAUACCCGGUUGGGAUGACGGUACCCAAAGAAUAAGCACCGGCUAACUUCGUGCCAGCCGCCGCAGUAA
Molecule: ribosomal RNA, 506 nt
Filed under: uncultured bacterium
Lineage: Bacteria
Description: partial 16S ribosomal RNA
Rfam family: Bacterial small subunit ribosomal RNA
Source: RNAcentral